Molecule: RNA transcript, 3429 nt
Organism: Prionailurus viverrinus (fishing cat)
Lineage: Eukaryota; Metazoa; Chordata; Mammalia; Carnivora; Felidae
Gene name: BEN domain-containing protein 5
Exons: 8
Source: RefSeq, a predicted model, not a curated record
GCGAGAGCAGCCGAUUGGCAGAGCGGUGCUUUCAGGAACAAUAACAGUGGGGGGAGCCCGGGUCCCGGGGAGCCGCCCCCGCCCCCCGGCCCGGCCGCGCGGCCCGCGCCCCCCGCCGGGUCCCCACCUCCGCGCCCGCCCCGCGGGCUGACCGGCCCGACCGGGGCCCGCCCCCGGCGCCCACCAUGUACGCCUUUGUGCGGUUCCUGGAGGACAACGUCUGCUACGCGCUGCCAGUGUCGUGCGUGCGCGACUUCAGCCCCCGCUCGCGGCUGGAUUUUGACAACCAGAAGGUGUACGCCGUGUACCGGGGCCCGGAGGAGCUGGGCGCCGGGCCCGAGAGCCCCCCGCGCGCCCCCCGCGACUGGGGUGCGCUUCUGCUCCACAAGGCCCAGAUCCUGGCGCUGGCAGAAGACAAAUCUGACCUUGAAAACAGUGUGAUGCAGAAGAAAAUAAAAAUCCCCAAACUUUCUCUCAAUCACGUAGAAGAAGAUGGCGAGGUUAAAGAUUAUGGGGAAGAAGAUUUACAGCUUAGACACAUCAAGAGACCCGAGGGGCGGAAGCCGAGCGAAGUGGCGCAUAAGAGCAUUGAGGCAGUGGUGGCCCGGCUGGAGAAGCAGAACGGCCUGAGCCUGGGCCACAGCACGUGUCCAGAGGAGGUCUUCGUGGAGGCCUCGCCGGGCACAGAGGACAUGGACAGUCUGGAGGACGCUGUCGUGCCCCGGGCUCUGUAUGAGGAGCUGCUGCGCAACUACCAGCAGCAGCAGGAGGAGAUGCGCCACCUCCAGCAGGAGCUGGAGCGGACUCGGAGGCAGCUGGUCCAGCAGGCCAAGAAGCUCAAGGAAUACGGGGCUCUCGUGUCUGAAAUGAAGGAGCUCCGUGACCUCAACCGGAGGCUCCAGGACGUGCUGCUCCUGAGGCUUGGCAGUGGUCCCGCCAUUGACUUGGAAAAAGUAAAGUCAGAAUGUCUCGAGCCCGAGCCGGAGUUACGGAGCACUUUCAGUGAGGAAGCAAAUACGUCGUCCUAUUACCCCGCUCCUGCACCUGUCAUGGACAAGUAUAUCCUAGACAAUGGCAAGGUCCAUCUGGGAAGCGGGAUUUGGGUUGAUGAGGAGAAAUGGCACCAGCUACAAGUAACCCAAGGAGAUUCCAAGUACACAAAGAACUUGGCAGUCAUGAUUUGGGGAACAGAUGUUCUGAAGAACAGAAGCGUCACAGGAGUUGCCACAAAAAAAAAGAAAGAUGCAGUCCCUAAGCCACCCCUCUCGCCUCACAAACUAAGCAUUGUCAGAGGCCAUCAUUUCCCCCCUACAAUACUCCAGCAGCUUCCAGACUUCUCUCUCCAUUACGUAACCAGAGUGAUCCUUAAGAAACCAAACAUGAUCCUGUCACCACCACCCCGUCACAGCCAGCCCAUGGUGCCCAUUAUUAAAAGGGAAUUUGUAAGGGCCAUUCCUGGGGCCCGGACCACAUGUCAUAACUACCCACCCUGCACCUGGGCUGCUUUGUCUGGCUAGCUGCUCUAACCACCCGGAUCUGCUUAGGAGAACCUUCCUCUAGGAAGCCUUCCCUGACUUCUUAGGGUGAGUGGACACUUCUGUCAUAUGUCCCAGAGCCCCUUGUGGUCACCUCUGGUCUCUUUUUGCUGUAUCUUUGCCCCCCAGGGGCCUCCUAUAGCAACUCUGAGAGCCCAGAAAUGCUUGCCAUGCAGGCGAAUGAGAAGGAAAGUGACUUGCCCAAGGCCGUACAACUGGUUAGGUCGGAGCCCGGCAGAGUGAGUCUGACUUCCUCAUCCCAGAGGUUUCUUGUCAUACCUAAGUACAGUGUUGGUUUUUUCUCUACUACAAGCAGGCAGGUUGGAAGUCCGUCUCCUACCCCACCAUACACUCACCAUUUUUACCCCAAUUAUAUGAGCUCCUCCAGACUGCCCUGGACUGGUCCUUCCAAGCAGGAGAUCUGUGGCUUGAGAUUGUGUGUGUUUAUUUCCACUUUUACCACACUUAGUCACAUUUGCUGUACAAAAAUGACAGCCCUUGCUCAUUAGGGAUUUUCUCAUGUCUUUGAGGAUUUUAAAGUCCUUCCCGACCGGAUGGCAGCAGGAUGGUGAGCACUGAUACCGCUUGCAAAUGCAGAAAGCAGAGCAGGAGGGCCGUAGGAGAGUCUCUCUUUAAUGACAAGCUCCAGAAUGACAGUUAAACCUUAUUAAGGUCAAAUGACCUUUUGCAGAAUGUCUGAGUUUCCUAAAUGAGCCAUAGCAUUGAGUUCUGGGUAAUUUUUAUAACUUUUUUAAUAGGACACAUUAGCGCUGUUAUAAACCUUGUUAAUUAAGCAAUAAUCUCAAAUGCUCCCUCGCAGAGGGAGACAUUCCCGGCAAGUGCAGGUGAUUAAUACCUAGAGUCUAACAAAGCCUUUAAUCAACCUCAGGGGCUGCUCAGCGCUCUUGCCCCCGAGACACAGGAACGCUUGGGAUGCUGGGGAGCCCUCUUGGAAAACACUCCUGCAUUUGCCCCUUUCUCUUCCUGCCUCUUCUGUGACCCCUGCCAGUGCUCCAAGGGCCAUCACACCCACUCUCCUUCUCUCCCCUUCUCUCUCCUCAGCCUCUUUACCACCCUACUACCUUCCAGACAGCUAAAGACUUAGCACUGGAAGAAUCUCCUUGGAUCAUGUGGUUUGCCAUCCUACUUUUACAGAUGGUAAAACUGAGACCCAGACUGAUUCCCACUUAGAGGUUGCACAGCAACUAGGGCAAGAGCCAGAUUCGAACUCCUGAACUUCGAAACAGUUCUCAGCACAAGUUGUCUCCCUCACUUGGUUCAGGUUCCAGCAAAGUCACCCAAACGUCAGACUCACUAAGAGCGGCCGACCUCAGCCUCGUUAGUAAUCACCACGUUGAGAUACCACUUCACACCCACCGGGCUGUCAAAACCUUAAUAACCGGGCAAUGUCAAGUGCUUUUGAAGAUAUGAGGCAACCAGUACUGGCAUACACUACUGUCAGGAGUUCCAGGCAGCACAACCGCUUUGGAAAACAAUUUACUAGACAUCACCUAGUAAAGUUGAGUAUGCACACACCCUAGCGAUGAGCAGUGCCACAGCUUGGCCCUCACUGGAGAAUUUCCUGCAUGUGUACCCCAUGAGACACGCACCAGGGUGUUUGUAAUUGCAAAACACUGGAAACAAUCCGAGUAUCCGUUGACAGUAAAAUCAGCAAAUUGUGGAACAGUCCACUCCAGAGAACACUGCUCAUCAGUGAAAAUGAUUGACCUGUAGCCACACACUUCAACUUGGGUAAAUCACGAAAUUUAUGUAAUGUUGAGUGAGAAAAAGAAAGAUAUAUAAGAUACGGAUAUACCUGUAAAAAAGUUAAAAACAGGGAAGCGUAGGAGCGCCUGGGUGGCUCAGUUGGUAUAGUGUCUGACUUCGGCUCAGG